Molecule: long non-coding RNA, 3471 nt
Organism: Sarcophilus harrisii (Tasmanian devil)
Lineage: Eukaryota; Metazoa; Chordata; Mammalia; Dasyuromorphia; Dasyuridae
Exons: 3
Source: RefSeq, a predicted model, not a curated record
CGAAGCCUCGGAGGUUGUGGAGCCAGGGCCCGGUCUCAGUGGCAGCCGAGACCCCGCUGGCCGGAAGGGAGCCCCCGGGGGCUUGGGCCCGGGUUUUGGGGGCCCGGUCCGGCGCUCUGGUUCAGACGAAGCGGCCUUGAUGCUUCCGCCCGGAAGACUUCGGAGGCCCCGAUCCAAGCCUGGCCGAGCUGGGACAUCCCCGCUGUCCUCCCGGGAUGCCCGCCCCGGCCCUCCCCUCCCUCUUCCCGGGCAUGGGGAGGGCCCUUCGCUCCCUUAUCUCCGGGGGCCUUUUGACGCUGACACCGACUCAUGUGCCCUGAUUCACACUUCCUGGCUUCCUGCUCCGAGAUCCCACAGCCCCGGCUCCUCCCGCUGCCCAGUCCCUGGGCGACCGUGGCCCAGCCAGUCCCCAUCCCUGGGGAUCCCGACCGUUAGCUGUAAAGUGAAAGGAAAUAAAAGUCAGCAAAUUCUGAGGUGGCAAACUUUGGCUCAGCAAGCAUUUAUGAAGUGCCUACUGCAUGCGGAGGGUAGAGAAGCUAAUAAGAACAAUUAAAUGAUCCUUCCUCACCUGGAGUCUAUAUUCUCAUGCAAAUGGAUUCAUUAGAAAGGGGAGAGAUCUUCAGGUUUCCGAGCUGGAAGGGGUCCAAGGCCACGGGCAGUAAAGGUGCUUUACUUUGCCCCCGGGGCUGAGAGCUGCUUCCACCCCCUGAUCACCCCUUCAGGAAAAAUCUGCUUAGAAAAUGCAGAUCACAUUAGUAAGAAUGAGCUGUUCCUGAGCAAAACAAGAACAAGGCACCCAGAAUGCAACAGUGAGUGCAUCCUUCCCUCCGAUGGAGCCUGGUCCGGAGGGAGAUCUCGUGUUACUUUGCUCUCCGUUUGCUGGGACCCUUGAGGCAGGCACUAGAUGCUGGUUGCAUGGGCAGAAAAGGCCAUCCUGAGAGGCGAGCAGGGCGCUGACCUCUGUGGCCAAUUCCUCUUUCCUACUUCAUUUCUUACAAAGGCCUGAUGUCAGGAAUCACACAAGGAAUGAAUGUUGAAGGCAAAAUUUGACCCUGAAAUUUCCUGACUCGAGGAGCAGUUUCUAUCCAUUAUAAUUGUUGGACUUUUUUAACUGGCAGAGAAGGCAAAGCUUGUGGUACUUACCUUCCUUUUUUUUGGUCUCAAUGUAAAAACAAAGCAAAACAAAAACCCUACAAUCAAAAGCAUCUCCUUUACCCAGAGACCCAAGGGGAUGGCUGUUGCCAUGGUUACCUGCUCUCUCAUUGCCGGCAGGUUUCCUGGUUUUCUGCUACUUUCCCCAUUAUGGUUCUGACCCCAUUCAUGCGUGUGUAGAAAGCCUGUGGUCAUUCUGAUGUAGUGAAGAGUGAAUGAUUUAGCUUUGAUGUUUAAUGAUUUACUUCCUGCUCCUUCUGGUAGUUUGCCAUCACUUGAAGACAGCUGGGCAGAAGGAUCUGGGGUUCCACUUGCUUAAACAUUGAAUAUCUUACCUGGCUGGGGGCAAGAGGCGGGUUUUGCCAUCUCUGGACAGACGUGGGUGAUUGAUGAAAACGGAGGAGCUGAUGAGAAGUUUGGAAGACAGAAAGCCGGCCUCAAACCCAAGAGCACUGGCUUCCCAGACUGCUCUGAACAUAUUUGGGUUGUGUGACUCUGGACAAGGAGAUUAACCUUCCAUAGCACCAGGCAACUCUCUAAAAAAAGACUAAAUUUGCAGAGGGCCUGACCUCCGUUGGUAGAGAGAAGUUUUUUCCUCUGGGAGGUUUCUAUACCAGUUCUGUCACAGGUAACAUCAAUAGAGUCUCCAGUCAAUCCCCUGAGCCAAAAGCUUCCUUUUCCUCUUUUAGUUCCCCCACUUCUUCAUCUGAAUCUCUCCUAUCCCGAAUUAGACUUCUCUGUGAACACAUGGCAGCCACUGCUCUGCUCCAGAUGACUUGAAAUGUAGGCCCUGGAUCCUGAGCUGGGUGGGACACCUGGGGCAUCUCAUCCAACAGAGAAGGAAAGAGAGGUCGGAGAUGUGCUCCGGGUCCCACAAGGAGUCGGUGUCAGAAGUGGGACAUGACCAGGCCAGCAGCUCUAUGCAGAACUGCCCUGCAUCGGCCCGAGGGGCCAGACUCUGACCCCGCUGUUCGCUGGCCACCCUCAUGCCCCACAGGGCAUGGGACAGAGGGCAGUGGCACAAAGGUCUCACCAGGAGACUUUGCAGCUGCUCCUCCCUGACCUUUGUUGCUUUUCUCUGUCCCUCGUGGGGAAGCAGCACUUCUGGCUCGGUAAUGGGUCCCCUCCCACUAGGUCCCAGAGAAUCCCACGUAUGGAAGGCUCAGACCCAUGCAACCAGGCCAGAAUCAUGCUCAUGUUCUCCUUUAGUGCUAUCCCGAUGUGCUUUCCACACCUUUUCCACAAAGGUGCUCCAGGUCUUAGAAAGCCCAUUUUAGAGUUAAUGACUUUAGAGGCUCGGGGUCGCACCCCUUCAGAAAUGCCCUGGAAGUUCAGCUCUUCCUGAGGCGCAGGCUGUGCCCCGAGCUUCCGACCACACUGGGAAAUGACUGAUGCUUGCUCUGCGGUUGCCAGUCCUUCGUCCUCUCCCUGACAGAGGAAGGCAUAGCUGGGAGUCAAUGGAAGGACCUUAGAAGGGAAGCACUUCCCCCUCCCCCAGGGUAGGGAUCUCUUCCCACAGAAUUGUCUUGCCUCUUUCUGGAUAUUGUCCCAGUACCAGACAGCUCACUACCACAGAAGGUGUAGCUUCCCUGUGGACAGCUGGAAUUAGAACAUUCUUUAGAUCAAGCUGACCUUGGGCUCUUGUGCUUCCAGCCCAUUGUCCUUAUUCUCUAUUCCGAAGCUUCAUGAAAAAAGUCUCAUCUCUCUCCUGUGAGCUGACCUCCCAAACAUUUCAAUUCAAUCAGGUCCCACCCAGUUGAAUUCAACAAGCAUUUAUUAAGCACCUACUGUGUAACAGGUGCUGUGCUAAGCACUAGGACUAAAAGGACAAAAAUGACAACGUCCCUCCUUUAUGCAGCCUAUGUUAUGUCCAGGAUUAAUUUAAACCCCAUGACCAAGCACGUAGGAAUGCAAACAAAGGAUGGCCCCUGUGAGAACCUACCAAGAACUGGGGUGGGAGCAGGACUCAGAGGAGGAUGGGAGAGUUCUCCUGAAGAGCCAGGACCUGGGCCCUGCUUCCGAGGAAGCCAGCGAUUGAAAGAGGGGACGUUGGGAAGGGAGGGCGUUCCAAGCAUGGGCAGAGGCUGAGGAAGACUUAACGUCCCCUACAACAUGUCACCCAAAGGUUAAUUGGAAUGGAGAAAGUGUGAAGAGCAAUGAGCUGAAAUGAGCCUGGAGGGAGGGGAUUGGGGUGGAUUUAAAUGUCUCUCUUGUCGCUUCUUACUCUCCUCUGCUGCAGGUUAAGCAGUCUCAGUUCCCUCUGCUGUUUCCUGUGACCUGCUGGCUUCUCGAUCACCUUCCUCUUUAUCCCCCCCCCCC